GUCUUGUAAUUGGAAUGAUGGGAAUUUAAACCUCUUCCAGAGUAUCAAUUGGAGGGCAGUCUGGUGCCAGCAGCCGCGGUAAUUCCAGCUCCAAUAGCGUAUAUUAAAAUUGUUGCAGUUAAAAAGCUCGUAGUUGAAUUUCUGCUGCAUUGCAUUUUCUCCUAUACGAGUUUUUGCAUUGUGGCUUAUUUCGGUUAUAAAAUUUAUUUUUAUUUCCGGAUGUUUACUUUGAGAAAAUUAGAGUGCUCAAAGCAGGCUUUUGCCUUGAAUAGUUUAGCAUGGAAUAAUAAAGUAGGACUUUGGUUCUAUUUUGUUGGUUUUAGGUACCAAAGUAAUGGUUAAUAGGAACAGUUGGGGGCAUUCGUAUUUAACUGUCAGAGGUGAAAUUCUUAGAUUUGUUAAAGACGAACUACUGCGAAAGCAUUUGCCAAGGAUGUUUUCAUUAAUCAAGAACGAAAGUUAGGGGAUCGAAGACGAUCAGAUACCGUCGUAGUCCUAACCAUAAACUAUGCCGACUAGAGAUUGGAGGUCGUCAGUUUUUACGACUCCUUCAGCACCUUGAGAGAAAUCAAAGUCUUUGG
Molecule: ribosomal RNA, 581 nt
Filed under: Theileria capreoli
Lineage: Eukaryota; Apicomplexa; Aconoidasida; Piroplasmida; Theileriidae
Description: SSU rRNA
Rfam family: Eukaryotic small subunit ribosomal RNA
Source: RNAcentral